UGGCGUCGUGCAGCUGUUGUGUGUUGUAUCGUUGAUGGCUGGGCCGACCACUGGUGUACCGAUGUCUUCUUGGUAUGGUGGGUACAAAACCGCAACGCCGUCGCCUUACUACUCAAAAGCAACUUACGCAAGGACCAGUUACUGUACCGAGAUCUACAAGUAAUGUACUAUUAAGUCACCCGAGUUUUAUACCACAACUUACGCUGCCCCGAUCCACUACAGUGACGCCCUGAAGUAUUACUCUGCCCCGAGUUACUACACCACCAAGACGACGGAGCAGGACUACGCAUGCUGCCCCAUUCUACUACACCAAGGCUCCCAGCUGCUACACCAAGGCUCUCGCCGAUUACUCCACAGAAACGGUCGAGUACUACUCCGAAGCGGUUAAGUACUUCUCUGCCCCGAUCUACACAACCAUAACUG
This is a long non-coding RNA of Daphnia pulicaria, 423 nucleotides long. RefSeq lists it as uncharacterized. The record is from RefSeq and is a predicted model, not a curated record. NCBI's taxonomy places the organism in Eukaryota, Metazoa, Arthropoda, Branchiopoda, Diplostraca, Daphniidae. The transcript is spliced from 2 exons.